Molecule: transfer RNA, 86 nt
Filed under: compost metagenome
Description: tRNA-Leu
Rfam family: tRNA
About the family: Transfer RNA (tRNA) molecules are approximately 80 nucleotides in length. Their secondary structure includes four short double-helical elements and three loops (D, anti-codon, and T loops).
Source: RNAcentral
GCCCGGAUGGCGAAAUUGGUAGACGCAAGGGACUUAAAAUCCCUCGUUCUUUGAGCGUGCCGGUUCGACCCCGGCUCCGGGCACCA